GGGAACAAAUUUUAAAGGGUGUUAAACAUAGGAGACUCCGCCCAUUACAACUCUUGGAAUCUGUCAUUCUUCUUUGCUUAAAACAAGACCAUUCCCAAACAAAUUUUCAAGAAUUUUGAACUCCGAAUAUUACCUUGUAGGUGGGGAAGAGGCUUCAAAAAAAAAUUGAUAGAGAAGGGAAAAGAGUUAAGUGUCUCCCCCAUUUUGAAGUUCAAGCUAAUGUAACUUUGGUUUUCUCAACGGAGCGUAUCAAACCAUCUUUGAAGGAUAAUAGGCUCUACAAUGGAAUCUUGGCGUUGGGAAAUUUGCUAAAGAGCCAUUUGUGCCUUGGGUUGAAAGCUUGCUGGAGAUUGUGGUUAAGUUGGGGUUAAGCCAUAAACGAGUAAUGAAGGAAAGUGUUGAAAAAAAAAUUCCGCUAGCAUUGUGGUCUAAUAUCAAGGACAAGUUGGUAGAAAUUUGAAGUUGAGUUGGAACCCCGGUUGUUGGAAGAAAUCAACAAGGCUUGGGUGAUGAUGAUGGAUUGAAUUAUGCUAAGUCUCCCAACAGAAAUAGAACAAGCUUAAACUAUGGAAAAUUGGUAUAAUUGGUGAGAAUUCCCACCAAAGAAGAUAAGUAAAUUUUGGGGACCAAUUGUGGUGAGAGGACUUCAGCUUGCAACGUAGGUAAUUGGUGUCUCAUAGCCCUACCCUUGUAUUACUCCAUUAACUAGAUGUCGAGUGGUCAACUGUUUAAAAGAAAUGUUGUAUUUUUAAAACUAUUUUGGGUCGAGGCCUUUAGGUAUUGU
Molecule: long non-coding RNA, 784 nt
Organism: Theobroma cacao (cacao)
Lineage: Eukaryota; Viridiplantae; Streptophyta; Magnoliopsida; Malvales; Malvaceae
Source: RefSeq, a predicted model, not a curated record